Molecule: ribosomal RNA, 507 nt
Filed under: uncultured bacterium
Lineage: Bacteria
Description: bacterial SSU rRNA
Rfam family: Bacterial small subunit ribosomal RNA
Source: RNAcentral
AGUGAACGCUGGCGGCAGGCCUAAUACAUGCAAGUCGAACGGCAGCACAGCAGAGCUUGCUCUGUGGGUGGCGAGUGGCGGACGGGUGAGGAAUACGUGGGAAUCUGCCCAGUCGUGGGGGAUAACGUAGGGAAACUUACGCUAAUACCGCAUGCGCCCUUCGGGGAAAGCCGGGGACCUUCGGGCCUGGCGCGAUUGGAUGAGCCCACGUCGGAUUAGCUAGUUGGCGGGGUAAAGGCCCACCAAGGCGACGAUCCGUAGCUGGUCUGAGAGGAUGAUCAGCCACACUGGAACUGAGACACGGUCCAGACUCCUACGGGAGGCAGCAGUAGGGAAUAUUGGACAAUGGGCGCAAGCCUGAUCCAGCCAUGCCGCGUGAGUGAAGAAGGCCCUCGGGUUGUAAAAGCUCUUUUGUCCGGAAAGAAAAGCGCCGGGUUAAUAACCCCUGGUGUCCUGACGGUACCGGAAGAAUAAGCACCGGCUAAACUUCGUGCCAGCAGCCGCGGU